AAGGGUGAGUAACGCGUAGGCAACUUGCCCCACAGUGGGGAAUAACAUGGGGAAACCCGUGCUAAUACCGCAUGAUAUCUCGAUGAUGCAUGUCAUUGAGAUCAAAGAUUUAUCGCUGUGGGAUGGGCCUGCGUUCUAUUAGCUUGUUGGUAGGGUAACGGCCUACCAAGGCUACGAUGGAUAGCUGGUCUGAGAGGAUGAUCAGCCACACUGGCACUGAGACACGGGCCAGACUCCUACGGGAGGCAGCAGUGAGGAAUAUUGGGCAAUGGGCGAAAGCCUGACCCAGCAACGCCGCGUGGGUGAUGAAGCUCUGAGGAGUGUAAAACCCUGUUAGGAGGGAAGAAACUCCCGCUUUGCGGGACUGACGGUACCUCCAGAGAAAGCUCCGGCUAACUCCGUGCCAGCAGCCGCGGUAACACGGGGGGAGCAAGCGUUGUCCGGAUUUACUGGGCGUAAAGAGCGUGUAGGCGGGACAAUUAGUCAUCUGUGAAAUCUUUCGGCUUAACCGGAAACCUGCAGGUGAAACUGUUGUCCUUGAGUUCGGAAGAGGGAAGUGGAAUUCCUGGUGUAGCGGUGAAAUGCGUAGAUAUCAGGAAGAACACCAGUAGCGAAGGCGGCUUCCUGGUCCGUAACUGACGCUGAGACGCGAAAGCGUGGGGAGCAAACAGGAUUAGAUACCCUGGUAGUCCACGCCGUAAACGAUG
Molecule: ribosomal RNA, 707 nt
Filed under: uncultured bacterium
Lineage: Bacteria
Description: bacterial SSU rRNA
Rfam family: Bacterial small subunit ribosomal RNA
Source: RNAcentral